RNAcentral lists this long non-coding RNA (433 nucleotides) under Eucalyptus grandis. Its description in RNAcentral is "long non-coding RNA (EGRA_LNC007449)". Lineage: Eukaryota; Viridiplantae; Streptophyta; Magnoliopsida; Myrtales; Myrtaceae. The record is from RNAcentral.
GGUGCGUUUGGGAACCCACUUCCCAAAGCCCCUUGAGAGUCUAAAGCUCCUUGGGCCAAGUAAAGGGUGUUUGGCAAAAAAAUUUAAACCCCCAUUCUCCAAAUGCCAGCCUUGUGAAGGCUGAAAGCCCAAGGCAGGUCCACCCCUGCCUUGAGCUUUCGGCUUUUUCGGCAUGCCCACGCGGGCACUGUUCAUGUUUUUUUAUUUCCAAAAUUACCCUUACGAACUUUUUGUUUUACCGUCUUUUGCCCUUGUGAGGACACUGUUCGUCUUCACCAUCUGUUCUUCGUGACUGCGAGGGGCCGGUGACGGCCAGAGGGACGCCGGCGUGAUCGCGACAACCUACGCGAUCGUCGUCGGAGAGUCGGGUGACCUCCACGAGUCGCGGUGACUCAACGACGAUGGCGAGGGGCCGCCCCGGCGAGUCGCAGAG